AGAGCUAUCGAGUCCGUCAGACAGACACAGAGACAGACGGUCUACCUGGUCAUGGAUCACCUGCUGAUGGUGUUGGUGUUGCUGUGCAGCUCAGGACUCCAGGCUGAAGAUGAUCACCAAUCAGAUCCUGUCAGGUUGGUGGGAGGAGCCAGUCGCUGUGCAGGUACACUGGAGAUGAAAAAGGGAG
Molecule: long non-coding RNA, 187 nt
Organism: Scomber scombrus (Atlantic mackerel)
Lineage: Eukaryota; Metazoa; Chordata; Actinopteri; Scombriformes; Scombridae
Exons: 3
Source: RefSeq, a predicted model, not a curated record